Molecule: ribosomal RNA, 492 nt
Filed under: uncultured bacterium
Lineage: Bacteria
Description: partial 16S ribosomal RNA
Rfam family: Bacterial small subunit ribosomal RNA
Source: RNAcentral
AGUGAACGCUGGCGGUAGGCCUAACACAUGCAAGUCGAACGGCAGCACAGUAAGAGCUUGCUCUUACGGGUGGCGAGUGGCGGACGGGUGAGGAAUACAUCGGAAUCUACUUUUUCGUGGGGGAUAACGUAGGGAAACUUACGCUAAUACCGCAUACGACCUACGGGUGAAAGCAGGGGAUCUUCGGACCUUGCGCGAUUGAAUGAGCCGAUGUCGGAUUAGCUAGUUGGCGGGGUAAAGGCCCACCAAGGCGACGAUCCGUAGCUGGUCUGAGAGGAUGAUCAGCCACACUGGAACUUGGACACGGUCCAGACUCCUACGAGAGGCAGCAGUGGGGAAUAUUAGACAAUGGGCGCAAGCCUGAUCCAACCAUACCGCGUGGGUGAAGAAGGCCUUCGGGUUGUAAAGCCCUUUUGUUGGGAAAGAAAAGCAGCAGGUUAAUACCCCGCUGUUCUGACGGUACCCAAAGAAUAAGCACCGGCUAACUUCGUG